Salvia splendens (bonfire salvia) is the source of this 1015-nucleotide long non-coding RNA. RefSeq lists it as uncharacterized. The transcript has 3 exons. NCBI's taxonomy places the organism in Eukaryota, Viridiplantae, Streptophyta, Magnoliopsida, Lamiales, Lamiaceae. The record is from RefSeq and is a predicted model, not a curated record.
CCGUGAAUUAAUUGUCGGUAAAUUAAUUGUUGUUGACUGGAGAUUUGUGAAAUAAGUGAAUAUGCGAAUUUAAAUAAUUCCUGUCCGUGAGGAAUAUUUAUUGGACUCAAUUCCGUGUUGGAUCCGAUAAAUCAAAUAAAUAAUAUAAAGGUCCAGUCCGUGAUAAAUAAAUUAUGGACUGCACAAUUUAAAAGAAAAUACAACAAAAAAACGUGGAUUAGAUCAAAACAGAUUCUCUUCCUAUUGACUUGGUCACCAAGUCAAAUUUAAUUAAAGAUUUUGAGCAGAUUUUCCUCCUCCGUGAAAAGAUAUUCUUCCUCCGUAAUCUGCAAACAAAUACCAGAUAAAAUGCAAAUUAAUUCAAAAAUAAGAAAAAAAAAGAAAAAUUCGAAUCCCCUCCCUCAACCCACGUUGAAACCGUUCCCCUCUCUCCCCAAAUCUCUCCCACAUCCAAACCACCCAUCCCUCUAUUUUUAAUCUUCAAUUCAACUAUUUUUCCUAUUCUAAUCGUCCUCUGCAGCAAUCUAUCUUCUUCAACUUCUAUCCAAGGUAAACAACGUUCUAUCGUUUGUAUCUAAAGUUUCUCCUGCUUCAGAAUCUAACAUCAAUUUGUGCUAUUGGCAGUAACCAAAUUCUCCAGCUUCAAGAACCAUUCUUUUCAAAUCCUCGCAGUUCUUGAUUUCUCAUUCACAGAGGUGAAUCAUCGCAAGGGAAUCGUGAUCGCAAGGGAAAGAACGUAAUUUCAAAUUAAGCACUCGAGGUUGAGCGGCGACGAGGAUGUGUUGGUGUUGAGCGAGUGAAUUAAAUAUGUUAUUGAUGUCUUUGAACCUUGAGUGAUGUUGUGUCUUCACACAUGACGUCACUCUUUCUCUUGGUCGUUUCCGCUGUGACGUGUCUUAAAUUAUGAUUUAUUUGGGCCGACAACUUUAAUUGUUGGGGUAAUGGAUAUUCUGAAUUCCUUGUUGGAUAAUAUUAAACUCUUGGUUAUUUAUUUGGAUAUUAAUUGUUGGUCCAA